ACGGAGGGUCCGAGCGUUAUCCGGAAUCAUUGGGUUUAAAGGGUCCGUAGGCGGGCAGCUCAGUCAGUGGUGAAAGUUUGCAGCUCAACUGUAAAAUUGCCAUUGAUACUGGUUGUCUUGAAUUAAUGUGAAGUGGUUAGAAUAUGUAGUGUAGCGGUGAAAUGCAUAGAUAUUACAUAGAAUACCAAUUGCGAAGGCAGAUCACUAACAUUAUAUUGACGCUGAUGGACGAAAGCGUGGGGAGCGAACAGG
Molecule: ribosomal RNA, 252 nt
Filed under: uncultured bacterium
Lineage: Bacteria
Description: partial 16S ribosomal RNA
Rfam family: Bacterial small subunit ribosomal RNA
Source: RNAcentral